UGACGUCACCCGGCCUCAGCUGAAUGUAAGCGCGGCUAAUAAACCGCGUGGGUGGUUUCCCAGCGUGCGCGCCUCUGCUGCCCUCAACUCCUGCAGAGGGUGAAUAGGUGAGGAGGAAGGGAAGUAGUCCAAGAAAACCAAAGGGAGAAGGACGAUUCAGUUAUUGGCGAUGGUGUCCUCAAUCCAGGUGCAAGGGGCUGGAUAGAAUGUGAUCUUCAUCACUCACGAAUUGUAGCACUGAGCAGCCGACACAACCCACUGUUCGGUGAUGAGAACACCUCCGCAGAAGUUCCCAGAAUUCAAGAACACUUGCUGACCGCUGGCAUCCAGAGGACACUGUGGGGGCACCGAAUAAUCAAUAAAGAGAAAUGGAGUAGCAGCCCAUAUUGUGAAGUUCUGUGACUGUAUUUACUACCCUCUGUCAUUUUUGCACCUACCUCCACCAGAGGUACUGUAUGUGCACCACGUGCCCAUGUGCCCCCCACCCGCACCCCCUGCCUGCUGCACCCACCACAGUGUUCAGCACUGCCAAGCGCAGCGGCAUCACCAGAAUGAACACUUUGGAGAUCCGAAAUUGAAAAUUUUCAGCAUUAAGGAAAACAUGAAUUAACACCACCCACCUGUUAGAAGCAAAUUGUUUUCAUUAAAUAGGACUUUGUUUUUGUACCUUUUUCUAUUUUCCUAUUUUUCUAUUAAUUUAACAAACUCUGAAAUUUUCUUUAAUUGACUUAUUAUCUACUUUUUUUAAAAUAAUGCCUUUAUGAUAGAAAAAUAUUGUAAUUG
Long non-coding RNA from Alligator sinensis (Chinese alligator), 783 nucleotides. RefSeq lists it as uncharacterized. The record is from RefSeq and is a predicted model, not a curated record. The transcript has 5 exons. NCBI's taxonomy places the organism in Eukaryota, Metazoa, Chordata, Crocodylia, Alligatoridae.